UACGGGGGGGGUAAGCGUUGUUCGGAAUUACUGGGCGUAAAGGGCUCGUAGGCGGCCAACUAAGUCAUACGUGAAAUCCCUCAGCUUAACUGGGGAACUGCGUGUGAUACUGGAUGGCUUGGAUUUGGGAGAGGGAUGUGGAAUUCCCGGUGUAGCGGUGAAAUGCGCAGAUAUCGGGAGGAACACCAGUAGCGAAGGCGGCUCGCUGGGCCAUUCCUGACGCUGAGACGCGAAAGCUAGGGGAGCGAACAGG
RNAcentral lists this ribosomal RNA (253 nucleotides) under uncultured bacterium. Its description in RNAcentral is "partial 16S ribosomal RNA". It matches the Rfam family "Bacterial small subunit ribosomal RNA", at positions 524 to 776 of the family's 1533-position model. The record is from RNAcentral.